GACGAACGCUGGCGGCGUGCUUAACACAUGCAAGUCGAACGGAAAGGCCCUGCUUUUGUGGGGUGCUCGAGUGGCGAACGGGUGAGUAACACGUGAGUAACCUGCCCUUGACUUUGGGAUAGCUUCAGGAAACUGGGGCUAAUACCGGAUAGAAGCUCCUGCUGCAUGGUGGGGGUUGGAAAGUUUCGGCGGUUGGGGAUGGACUCGCGGCUUAUCAGCUUGUUGGUGGGGUAGUGGCUUACCAAGGCUUUGACGGGUAGCCGGCCUGAGAGGGUGACCGGCCACAUUGGGACUGAGAUACGGCCCAGACUCCUACGGGAGGCAGCAGUGGGGAAUAUUGCACAAUGGGCGGAAGCCUGAUGCAGCAACGCCGCGUGCGGGAUGACGGCCUUCGGGUUGUAAACCGCUUUCGCCUGUGACGAAGCGUGAGUGACGGUAAUGGGUAAAGAAGCACCGGCUAACUACGUG
RNAcentral lists this ribosomal RNA (468 nucleotides) under uncultured bacterium. RNAcentral's name for it is "partial 16S ribosomal RNA". It matches the Rfam family "Bacterial small subunit ribosomal RNA", at positions 28 to 507 of the family's 1533-position model. The record is from RNAcentral.